UGGGUUCUGGAUUAGGUAGGAGUACCCGCUGAACUGAAGCAUCUCAUUAAGCGGAGGAAAAGAAACUAACUAGGAUUCUCUUACUAAAGGCGAUCGAAGAGAGAAGAGCUCGAAAGCUUAAUCCCUUUCGGGGGAAAUGUAGCUGGAUCAUCUUUGCAACGCUGACAACUUUCCUGGAAACGUUGGGCGAUACAGAGUUCAAGCCUCGUACAUGCAGCACCGCAAGCAUGAUGGUCUAAAACGAGUCGGGUAGCUUGAGAUUGCUGCCUUAAGAUGGGUGGUAUGCCUCAUCCAAAGCUAAAUAUUGUAAGGAGACCGAUAGAGUACAAGUAGUGUGAACGAACGAUGAAAAGAAUUCUACGACAGAGAGUGCAAAGCGCCUGAACUUGUCUAGGAGUCAGCAUCUUAGAUGCGCCCGUCUUGUAACACGGAUUAGGGAGUUUAACUGCAGUGCGAGUUUCCGCUUUAGAAAAGCGAAGGCGAAAAGAGAAUGACUGGCUCAUUAGAGCAUGGCGUCUGAGCACUGGUGUUAGAACCCGAAUGGUGGUGAACUAUGCCUGCACAGGACGAAGCCAGGGGAAACUCUGGUGGAGGUCCGUAGCGUUAUUGAUGUGCAAAUCAUUUGUCAGAUGUGGGUAUAGGUGCGAAAGACUCAUCGAACCACCUAAUAGCUGGUUUCCUCCGAAGUUUCCCUCAGGAUAGCCGCAAUGCUUUUAGUUAAGGGGGGUAGAGACAUGGGUAGAGGUCUAGGGGAUCUACGGAUCCUCAGCCUAUUUCCAAACUUCGAACCUUCUUGUUACUAGCUUAUUUCCGAAUAGGAAGCUGGUAAAUGAAUAUGCGUUGCGAGUGGGCUCGGACUGGUAAGCGGUCCUGGCGAAAAGGGAUGAACCUAACGUAUGGAUAAGGUGCCUAAAUGUACUACCAAUGAUACCAUUAAAAGAGUCCAUGUAUUAAAACAGCAGGUCGGUGUCCCUAAAAGCAGGCAUCCGUUAAUGAGUGUGUUAAAACUCCCCUGCCGAAUACUAGGGCCUUGAAAAUGAAUGGCGCACAUAGUACUACCGAUACCAUACACAUGCAGCUGAUGCAUGGAGUAGGGGGACAUGAACAUUAUCAACGAAGGCAUCUCGUAAGAGGUGUUGGAGAAGUGUUUAUUGCACAUCCUAAUUGAAGUAGCGUUUAUCCAGGUUAACAUCCUGGAGGCUGAUGAGGAGUAGGGUUUCUGGGCAACAUACACUGUCCCAGAGUUAGUCGGUCCUGAUCCCAAUAAUGGUGAGAAAGGGAACACGGUUGAUAUUCCGUGACUAGUAGCAGGGAGUGGCAACACAGAGGAAACGUUUUCCGUCGAUUAGAUACCGAUUAUUAGGGAUCUCUUUCCUAAAUGACGGUGUGCGUGUGCUAGGAAUCAGGUCAACUGGAGAAUAUUUGCAUGCGUACCUGGCAAAAUGCUGAUUCGUCAGCAUUAAGGGCUGUCUGAUUGAUCCAUGAAGCAAGCGUUUUUAGUACUGCGCUAGGCGUACCGAUGACCGCAUCAGGUCUCCGAGGUGAGUAGCCUAUGGCCAUUGAGGUGUGGUAGUUCAGGGAAUUCGGCCAAUUGGAGCUGUAACUUCGGGAUAAAGCUUGGCUCUGAUGGAAAUCAGAACUGAUUGUUACAAGGAGAGCCCAACUGUUUAAUAAAAACGCAGUGUCGCGCUGAAGUCAUACAGCUUGUGAACGCGACAUGAAUCCUGCUCAGUGCUGUGUCUGUUAAAGUGGUUCAAGCCAACGAAGCACCGGUAAAUAGCUGGGGUAACUAUGACUCUUAUCAAAGUAGCGAAAUACCUCGUCACUUAAUUAGUGACCUGCAUGAACGGAGCUAUGAGGUUCUCACUGUCCCAAACUAUCUCUCAGCGAACCAACAGUUGUGGGAACGGGCACAAGUUAUCCAGCGGGGAAAGAAGACCCUGUAGAGCUUCACUUUGGUCUAGUCUUGUAUGGUUUCGUCAAGGGUGCAGUCUAGGUGGGAGAGCAAUCGA
Molecule: ribosomal RNA, 2012 nt
Filed under: gut metagenome
Description: eukaryotic LSU rRNA
Rfam family: Eukaryotic large subunit ribosomal RNA
Source: RNAcentral